This 461-nucleotide ribosomal RNA is filed under the name Klebsiella pneumoniae. RNAcentral's name for it is "bacterial SSU rRNA". It matches the Rfam family "Bacterial small subunit ribosomal RNA", at positions 227 to 680 of the family's 1533-position model. Lineage: Bacteria; Pseudomonadati; Pseudomonadota; Gammaproteobacteria; Enterobacterales; Enterobacteriaceae. The record is from RNAcentral.
UGUGCCAGAUGGGAUUAGCUAGUAGGUGGGGUAACGGCUCACCUAGGCGACGAUCCCUAGCUGGUCUGAGAGGAUGACCAGCCACACUGGAACUGAGACACGGUCCAGACUCCUACGGGAGGCAGCAGUGGGGAAUAUUGCACAAUGGGCGCAAGCCUGAUGCAGCCAUGCCGCGUGUGUGAAGAAGGCCUUCGGGUUGUAAAGCACUUUCAGCGGGGAGGAAGGCGUUAAGGUUAAUAACCUUGGCGAUUGACGUUACCCGCAGAAGAAGCACCGGCUAACUCCGUGCCAGCAGCCGCGGUAAUACGGAGGGUGCAAGCGUUAAUCGGAAUUACUGGGCGUAAAGCGCACGCAGGCGGUCUGUCAAGUCGGAUGUGAAAUCCCCGGGCUCAACCUGGGAACUGCAUUCGAAACUGGCAGGCUAGAGUCUUGUAGAGGGGGGUAGAAUUCCAGGUGUAGCG